Molecule: transfer-messenger RNA, 390 nt
Filed under: Streptomyces globosus
Lineage: Bacteria; Bacillati; Actinomycetota; Actinomycetes; Kitasatosporales; Streptomycetaceae
Also listed under: 1 other name
Description: Standard tmRNA
Rfam family: transfer-messenger RNA
About the family: Bacterial tmRNA, also known as 10Sa RNA or SsrA, is named for its dual tRNA and mRNA-like properties.
Source: Rfam by way of RNAcentral
GGGGAUGAUCGGUUUCGACAGCGGAUGUCGAUGUAGGGGAAGCGAGCCGAGGAAGCGGCAAUGAUCUCGCUAACCACAUGUCGCAAAAAAAUAAUCGCCAACUCCAAGAGCGAUAACUCCCGCUUCGCCCUCGCUGCCUGAUAGCAGUGAGCUGAAGCCUCUGUGAGGAGCGUCAGCCCGGAAGUGGUCCCGGUCCGGAUCCUGGCGUCGACUAGGGAUCUAAACCUCUAGCCCCGGUCACGGGGGUUGGAGGGAAAUCAAACAGUGACUGAGCCCGUCGGAGACUUGUCCGCGUGAUCUCCGGGGCCGAGAAAAGCGCAGCGGACUGCGCUCGGAGAAGCCCUCCUUCUGCACCGUUGGACGCGGGUUCGAUUCCCGCCAUCUCCACUC